This 378-nucleotide ribosomal RNA is filed under the name uncultured eukaryote. RNAcentral's name for it is "partial 18S ribosomal RNA". It matches the Rfam family "Eukaryotic small subunit ribosomal RNA", at positions 592 to 976 of the family's 1831-position model. The record is from RNAcentral.
CAAUAGCGUAUAUUUAAGUUGUUGCAGUUAAAAAGCUCGUAGUUGGAUUUCGGGUGGGACGCAGCGGUCUCGCAUUGCGUUUGUACUGCUGCAGCCCUCCUUCUUGCCGGGGGCGGCCUCUCGGACUUCACUGUCUGGGGGUCAGAAUCGGCGAUGUUACUCUGAGUAAAUUAGAGUGUUCAAAGCAAGCUUACGCUCUGAAUAUAAUAGCAUGGGAUAACACGACAGGACUCUGGCCUAUCGUGUUGGUCUAUAGGACCAGAGUAAUGAUUAAGAGGGACAGUCGGGGGCAUUCGUAUUCCGUUGUCAGAGGUGAAAUUCUUGGAUUUACGGAAGACGAACAUCUGCGAAAGCAUUUGCCAAGGAUGUUUUCAUUGA